Molecule: ribosomal RNA, 445 nt
Filed under: uncultured bacterium
Lineage: Bacteria
Description: bacterial SSU rRNA
Rfam family: Bacterial small subunit ribosomal RNA
Source: RNAcentral
GAUGAACGCUGGCGGCGUGCUUAACACAUGCAAGUCGAACGGGAUCCCAGGAGCUUGCUCCUGGGUGAGAGUGGCGAACGGGUGAGUAAUGCGUGACCGACCUGCCCCAUACACCGGAAUAGCUCCUGGAAACGGGUGGUAAUGCCGGAUGCUCCAGUUGGAUGCAUGUCCUUCUGGGAAAGAUUCAUCGGUAUGGGAUGGGGUCGCGUCCUAUCAGCUUGAUGGCGGGGUAACGGCCCACCAUGGCUUCGACGGGUAGCCGGCCUGAGAGGGCGACCGGCCACAUUGGGACUGAGAUACGGCCCAGACUCCUACGGGAGGCAGCAGUGGGGAAUAUUGCACAAUGGGCGCAAGCCUGAUGCAGCGACGCCGCGUGCGGGAUGACGGCCUUCGGGUUGUAAGCCGCUUUUGACUGGGAGCAAGCCCUUCGGGGUGAGUGUACCUU